CUCAGGACGACGCUGGCGGCGUGCCUAAUACAUGCAAGUCGAACGGUCUUUCUAUGGAAGCUUGCUUCCACUGAGAAGAUAGUGGCGAACGGGUGAGUAACACGUGGGUAACCUGCCCAUAAGAGGGGGGAUAACAUCCGGAAACGGGUGCUAAUACCGCAUAGUUUUCUUGAUCGCAUGAUUGAGAAAGGAAAGACGGCCUUUGUGCUGUCGCUUAUGGAUGGACCCGCGGCGUAUUAGUUAGUUGGUGAGGUAACGGCUCACCAAGACGAUGAUACGUAGCCGACCUGAGAGGGUGAUCGGCCACAUUGGGACUGAGACACGGCCCAAACUCCUACGGGAGGCAGCAGUAGGGAAUCUUCCGCAAUGGACGAAAGUCUGACGGAGCAACGCCGCGUGGGUGAAGAAAGGUUUUCGGAUCGUAAAACUCUGUUGUCAGAGAAGAACAAGUUGGAGAGUAACUGCUCCAGCCUUGACGGUAUCUGACCAGAAAGCCACGGCUAACUACGUGCCAGCCGCUGC
RNAcentral lists this ribosomal RNA (522 nucleotides) under uncultured bacterium. RNAcentral's name for it is "bacterial SSU rRNA". It matches the Rfam family "Bacterial small subunit ribosomal RNA", at positions 23 to 518 of the family's 1533-position model. The record is from RNAcentral.